GAGUAAAGAUUUCGGUCGCUUUGGGAGGAGCUCGCUUACUAUCAGCUUGUUGGUAGGGUAAUGGCCUACCAAGGCUAUGACGGUUAGGGGGUGUGAGAGCAUGACCCCCAGCAUUGGCACUGAAACACUGGCCAAACACCUACGGGUGGCUGCAGUCGAGAAUCUUCCACAAUGGGGGAAACCCUGAUGGAGCGAUGCUGCGUGCGGGAUGAAGGCCUUCGGGUUGUAAACCGCUUUUGUAGGGGACGAAAUUUUUGACGGUACCUUUCGAAUAAGAGGUUGCUAACUCUGUGCCAGCAGCAGCGGUAAUACAGAGACCUCAAGCGUUAUCCGGAUUUACUGGGCGUAAAGCGUCUGUAGGGGGUUUAUUAAGUUCCAAGUAAAAUUUCAAGGCUCAACUUUGAAUUCGCUUGGAAAACUAAUAAACUGGAGUCUAGCAGAGGUGCAUGGAACUUGUGGUGUAGGAGUGAAAUCCGUUGAUAUCACAAGGAACACCAAAGGCGAAGGCAUUGCACUGGGCUAGCACUGACCCUGAGAGACGAAAGCGUGGGGAGCAAA
This 558-nucleotide ribosomal RNA is filed under the name uncultured organism. Its description in RNAcentral is "bacterial SSU rRNA". It matches the Rfam family "Bacterial small subunit ribosomal RNA", at positions 199 to 772 of the family's 1533-position model. The record is from RNAcentral.